Molecule: ribosomal RNA, 2426 nt
Filed under: Staphylococcus aureus
Lineage: Bacteria; Bacillati; Bacillota; Bacilli; Caryophanales; Staphylococcaceae
Also listed under: 1 other name
Description: bacterial LSU rRNA
Rfam family: Bacterial large subunit ribosomal RNA
Source: RNAcentral
GAACCAGUACCGUGAGGGAAAGGUGAAAAGCACCCCGGAAGGGGAGUGAAAUAGAACCUGAAACCGUGUGCUUACAAGUAGUCAGAGCCCGUUAAUGGGUGAUGGCGUGCCUUUUGUAGAAUGAACCGGCGAGUUACGAUUUGAUGCAAGGUUAAGCAGUAAAUGUGGAGCCGUAGCGAAAGCGAGUCUGAAUAGGGCGUUUAGUAUUUGGUCGUAGACCCGAAACCAGGUGAUCUACCCUUGGUCAGGUUGAAGUUCAGGUAACACUGAAUGGAGGACCGAACCGACUUACGUUGAAAAGUGAGCGGAUGAACUGAGGGUAGCGGAGAAAUUCCAAUCGAACCUGGAGAUAGCUGGUUCUCUCCGAAAUAGCUUUAGGGCUAGCCUCAAGUGAUGAUUAUUGGAGGUAGAGCACUGUUUGGACGAGGGGCCCCUCUCGGGUUACCGAAUUCAGACAAACUCCGAAUGCCAAUUAAUUUAACUUGGGAGUCAGAACAUGGGUGAUAAGGUCCGUGUUCGAAAGGGAAACAGCCCAGACCACCAGCUAAGGUCCCAAAAUAUAUGUUAAGUGGAAAAGGAUGUGGCGUUGCCCAGACAACUAGGAUGUUGGCUUAGAAGCAGCCAUCAUUUAAAGAGUGCGUAAUAGCUCACUAGUCGAGUGACACUGCGCCGAAAAUGUACCGGGGCUAAACAUAUUACCGAAGCUGUGGAUUGUCCUUUGGACAAUGGUAGGAGAGCGUUCUAAGGGCGUUGAAGCAUGAUCGUAAGGACAUGUGGAGCGCUUAGAAGUGAGAAUGCCGGUGUGAGUAGCGAAAGACGGGUGAGAAUCCCGUCCACCGAUUGACUAAGGUUUCCAGAGGAAGGCUCGUCCGCUCUGGGUUAGUCGGGUCCUAAGCUGAGGCCGACAGGCGUAGGCGAUGGAUAACAGGUUGAUAUUCCUGUACCACCUAUAAUCGUUUUAAUCGAUGGGGGGACGCAGUAGGAUAGGCGAAGCGUGCGAUUGGAUUGCACGUCUAAGCAGUAAGGCUGAGUAUUAGGCAAAUCCGGUACUCAUUAAGGCUGAGCUGUGAUGGGGAGAAGACAUUGUGUCUUCGAGUCGUUGAUUUCACACUGCCGAGAAAAGCCUCUAGAUAGAAAAUAGGUGCCCGUACCGCAAACCGACACAGGUAGUCAAGAUGAGAAUUCUAAGGUGAGCGAGCGAACUCUCGUUAAGGAACUCGGCAAAAUGACCCCGUAACUUCGGGAGAAGGGGUGCUCUUUAGGGUUAACGCCCAGAAGAGCCGCAGUGAAUAGGCCCAAGCGACUGUUUAUCAAAAACACAGGUCUCUGCUAAACCGUAAGGUGAUGUAUAGGGGCUGACGCCUGCCCGGUGCUGGAAGGUUAAGAGGAGUGGUUAGCUUCUGCGAAGCUACGAAUCGAAGCCCCAGUAAACGGCGGCCGUAACUAUAACGGUCCUAAGGUAGCGAAAUUCCUUGUCGGGUAAGUUCCGACCCGCACGAAAGGCGUAACGAUUUGGGCACUGUCUCAACGAGAGACUCGGUGAAAUCAUAGUACCUGUGAAGAUGCAGGUUACCCGCGACAGGACGGAAAGACCCCGUGGAGCUUUACUGUAGCCUGAUAUUGAAAUUCGGCACAGCUUGUACAGGAUAGGUAGGAGCCUUUGAAACGUGAGCGCUAGCUUACGUGGAGGCGCUGGUGGGAUACUACCCUAGCUGUGUUGGCUUUCUAACCCGCACCACUUAUCGUGGUGGGAGACAGUGUCAGGCGGGCAGUUUGACUGGGGCGGUCGCCUCCUAAAAGGUAACGGAGGCGCUCAAAGGUUCCCUCAGAAUGGUUGGAAAUCAUUCAUAGAGUGUAAAGGCAUAAGGGAGCUUGACUGCGAGACCUACAAGUCGAGCAGGGUCGAAAGACGGACUUAGUGAUCCGGUGGUUCCGCAUGGAAGGGCCAUCGCUCAACGGAUAAAAGCUACCCCGGGGAUAACAGGCUUAUCUCCCCCAAGAGUUCACAUCGACGGGGAGGUUUGGCACCUCGAUGUCGGCUCAUCGCAUCCUGGGGCUGUAGUCGGUCCCAAGGGUUGGGCUGUUCGCCCAUUAAAGCGGUACGCGAGCUGGGUUCAGAACGUCGUGAGACAGUUCGGUCCCUAUCCGUCGUGGGCGUAGGAAAUUUGAGAGGAGCUGUCCUUAGUACGAGAGGACCGGGAUGGACAUACCUCUGGUGUACCAGUUGUCGUGCCAACGGCAUAGCUGGGUAGCUAUGUGUGGACGGGAUAAGUGCUGAAAGCAUCUAAGCAUGAAGCCCCCCUCAAGAUGAGAUUUCCCAACUUCGGUUAUAAGAUCCCUCAAAGAUGAUGAGGUUAAUAGGUUCGAGGUGGAAGCAUGGUGACAUGUGGAGCUGACGAAUACUAAUCGAUCGAAGACUUAAUCAA